UGUGCGUGUACAGCGCGGUCGGCGAUAGU
Molecule: small RNA, 29 nt
Filed under: Bombyx mori (domestic silkworm)
Lineage: Eukaryota; Metazoa; Arthropoda; Insecta; Lepidoptera; Bombycidae
Description: ovarian small RNA-9104
Source: RNAcentral